Molecule: unclassified non-coding RNA, 400 nt
Filed under: soil metagenome
Description: partial contains 5.8S ribosomal RNA, internal transcribed spacer 2, and large subunit ribosomal RNA
Rfam family: 5.8S ribosomal RNA (bases 1-122)
Source: RNAcentral
GAUGAAGAACGUAGCGAAAUGCGAUACUAGGUGUGAAUUGCAGAAUCCCGUGAACCAUCGAGUCUUUGAACGCAAGUUGCGCCUCAAGCCAUUAGGUUGAGGGCACGUCUGCCUGGGCGUCACAUAUCGUUGCCUGAUGCCAGUUUCCUCGUGAUGGGUGACUGUGCAGGGCGAAUGAUGGCUUCCCGUGAGCAUUGUUGCCUCAUGGUUGGUUGAAAAUUGAGUCCUUGGUAGGGAGCGCCGUGAUAGAUGGUGGUUGAGUGACGAACGAGACCCAAUCAUGUGAGACCCCUACCGAAUUUGGCCUUCAUGACCCACAUGCGUCUUUGGAACGCUCAUGACGAGACCUCAGGUCAGGCGGGGCUACCCGCUGAGUUUAAGCAUAUCAAUAAGCGGAGGA